This 73-nucleotide transfer RNA is filed under the name Catellatospora citrea. RNAcentral describes it as "tRNA-Val". It matches the Rfam family "tRNA". From Rfam's summary of the family: Transfer RNA (tRNA) molecules are approximately 80 nucleotides in length. Lineage: Bacteria; Bacillati; Actinomycetota; Actinomycetes; Micromonosporales; Micromonosporaceae. The record is from RNAcentral.
GGGGCCGUAGCGCAGAAGUCGUCGCGCUCGACUAACAAGCGAGAGGACGCCGGUGCGAAUCCGGCCGGUCCCG